CAGGGCAGAAUGCUGUGGGAGUGACAAGUAAGCCACAAACACUUUUCUGUCAUGUAUGCUAUUCAAAAGAAACCGAGGCAAAAAAGAAGAAAAAUGGUUCAAAACACCCAGCAGCAAGAAAGAAGACCUCUGGCCUUCCAGGGAUUGCGAAAAUCUUUUCUUAGGAUGGAAUUCCACUUCCAUUCCAUAUAAGUAUAAGUAGUCCUUAUGCCAAGAAACUAGAUUUUUAAGGCAAAAAAAAAAAGAAAUCGAAGGAAGCUUCAGCAUCCCUUUGACUUUCUUUUCGUUCUAUUCGGAACUGGAAAUCCUUUUUUUCAUUUCUUUCUUUUGUGAGAGUCAAGAAAAGCGGUCUUAAGUUUGGGCUGA
RNAcentral lists this long non-coding RNA (366 nucleotides) under Phoenix dactylifera (date palm). Its description in RNAcentral is "long non-coding RNA (PDAC_LNC022773)". Lineage: Eukaryota; Viridiplantae; Streptophyta; Magnoliopsida; Arecales; Arecaceae. The record is from RNAcentral.